UAACUCAACAAUCAUCCACCUAUCACAAAAACCAAAUUUCCAAUACAAAAUCCAUCACAACACAAUAAUUAAUUCUCAUGAUAUUAUGACUUUCUAAAGCAUCCUAUGUACCCAUUUUUUCAAUUCUUUUCUCUCUUUUCUUUUCUUUUCUUUUUUUCUCUCUUUCUUUUCCUUUUGUUUUUUUUUUCAACGACUUGUAGGGUACUAGGAUUUUUUCAAUCAAGAUCAAAGUAUAUAAUUCAUAAACACACAUCUCCACAAACCAACUACCCCAUAACAACAAUCUCCAAGCUCCCACCCAUAGCUAAAUCAAAGAAUAAGGAAAAAUAAGGCUCAAAGGGGGUGAACUAGGAUCAUAUAAAGAUAUAGGACAAAUAAGGGAUAAAUAGGCUAGCAAAGAUGGCCUUCUAUCAUCUCAAAGUUAUUAAGCACACUAUGUGACCUCGAGGGAGAAACCAAGACAAGUUCUAGUGAGACACAAGCAUGCUCAAACAAUCACUCAAGAAUAAGAAAUAAGACUGUAAAAAUGGUGACAGUCAAAGCUCAAAUCUCACAGCUUAUUUCAUUGAUUGCAAACACAUAGAGACCAUGCUUAUCAUUCAUCAAUCAUGCUCAAUCACAACGAUAUCAACACAAAAGCAUGCAAUUUCACAAGUUUAAAGCAGAAAUCAUCAUGAACCAGUUAUCCAACAAAUCUCUACACUACUCACAUCAUCAUCAAGGUAACAUCACAAAGAAACCACCAAAGCAAGACUAAAAAACUCAACGACAAAACAAACAAAAACAAC
Molecule: long non-coding RNA, 788 nt
Filed under: Salvia miltiorrhiza (redroot sage)
Lineage: Eukaryota; Viridiplantae; Streptophyta; Magnoliopsida; Lamiales; Lamiaceae
Description: long non-coding RNA (SMIL_LNC000195)
Source: RNAcentral